Molecule: ribosomal RNA, 253 nt
Filed under: uncultured bacterium
Lineage: Bacteria
Description: partial 16S ribosomal RNA
Rfam family: Bacterial small subunit ribosomal RNA
Source: RNAcentral
UACGUAGGGUGCAAGCGUUGUCCGGAAUUACUGGGCGUAAAGGGCGCGUAGGCGGCCCGCUAAGUCGAACGUGAAAUCCCCGAGCUCAACUCGGGAACUGCGUCCGAUACUGGCGGGCUUGAAUCCGGGAGAGGGAUGCGGAAUUCCAGGUGUAGCGGUGAAAUGCGUAGAUAUCUGGAGGAACACCGGUGGCGAAGGCGGCAUCCUGGACCGGUAUUGACGCUGAGGCGCGAAAGCUAGGGGAGCAAACAGG